Molecule: ribosomal RNA, 865 nt
Filed under: uncultured bacterium
Lineage: Bacteria
Description: bacterial SSU rRNA
Rfam family: Bacterial small subunit ribosomal RNA
Source: RNAcentral
GAGUUUGAUCAUGGCUCAGGAUGAAUGCUGGCGGCGUGCCUAAUACAUGCAAGUCGAGCGGUAACAGGGAGUUCCACCGUUUCCUUGACACACCUAGCGCUGAGAUCGUAGGUUUGUGAAAACUCGAGGGAACCGUGGAAUUCUGCUGACGAGCGGCGGACGGCUGAGUAACGCGUGGGAACGGACCCCAAACUGAGGGAUAACGCAUCGAAAGGUGUGCUAAUACCGCAUGUGAUCUUCGGAUUAAAGGAUUUAUCCGGUUUGGGACUGGCCUGCGUACGAUUAGAUAGUUGGCGGGGUAAUGGCCCACCAAGUCGACGAUCGUUAGAUGGUUUGAGAAGAUGAUCAUCCAGACUGGGACUGAGACACGGCCCAGACUCCUACGGGAGGCAGCAGUAGGGAAUCUUUCACAAUGGGCGAAAGCCUGAUGGAGCAACGCCGCGUGCAGGAUGACGGCCUUCGGGUUGUAAACUGCUUUUAUAUCCGAGAAAUAUGAUGGUAAGAUAUGAAUAAGGACCGGCUAACUACGUGCCAGCAGCCGCGGUCAUACGUAGGGUCCAAGCAUUAUCCGGAUUGACUGGGUGUAAAGAGUUGCGUAGGUGGCAGGGUAAGUAGAUAGUGAAAUCUGGUGGCUCAACCAUUCAGACUAUUAUCUAAACUGCUCCGCUCGAGAGCGUUAGGGGUAGCUGGAAUUUCUAGUGUAGGAGUGAAAUCCGUAGAUAUUAGAAAGAACACCGAUAGCGUAGGCAGGCUACUGGGACGUUUCUGACACUAAGGCACGAAAGCGUGGGGAGCAAACGGGAUUAGAUACCCCGGUAGUCCACGCCGUAAACGAUGGAUACUAGCAGUUUCGGGUAUCGACCCC